This is a long non-coding RNA of Phyllostomus hastatus (greater spear-nosed bat), 2030 nucleotides long. RefSeq lists it as uncharacterized. The transcript is spliced from 2 exons. Lineage: Eukaryota; Metazoa; Chordata; Mammalia; Chiroptera; Phyllostomidae. The record is from RefSeq and is a predicted model, not a curated record.
UGGUCGCCUGGCUCCCGCCCCGCCACCCAGCUCGCACCGCGCCACGCCCGGCCCUGGACGAGGAGCAGCAGCCGGGAGCCCGGGGCUUGUCCCGUCGCUGAGAGCUCGGGCACGCCCUGUAAAAUGGGGCGCCCAGGAUUUUCUAACUCGAUGCCCAGACAGAUCCCCAUCACGGGUGCAUCGCCCCGGGACCUCCGAGCAGCAUCCCCGGUUUCAAAAGAUGUUUCAGUGUAAGCAUUUCCGGGGACUCUAGGCUCUGUUCCUCCUGUAACCAGUUGACAACUCCACCGGGAACCUGAAUCCCCCUGGGAGACGAGCUGCAGCCACCUCCACAAAGCCCCUACUACCCCCCACCCACCCCGCUGGUCUGUUCUGCCGUGGUUGCCUCACUGGAUUGUGUCCUGGGCCUCUGUUAGCACAUUGGUCACUCUGUGGUUACCCGUGCUUUCCUGACAGAGCCAGAAGACCAAACAACAGGACACUAUGGCAAUAGACUGGGGACACCACCUGUUGAUAAAGAAGUGAUAGGGCAAAAUAAAGAUCAUGUAUGUCGUUACCUUGAUGCUGACUUAUCCACAGUAAUGGGCUGUGUUAGGGCAGGGAUUUUCAAUUUUAAUACAGCACACAAACUAAUUAUUAAAAUUCUGUAGCACACCAAAAAACAUUUUAUUGCCAGUCUGACCCAAAAAAAAUAGGUAUGAUUUUGAUUCACUUACACCAGACAGCUAUUUUUGUGUUGACUGUUGUUUUUUUUAUUUGAUAAUCCUAGGAGAAAGAGGUCAGUGUCCCUGACUAGGUCAGGUAUUGCAUAUUUUUAAAAUUCUUGCAGUGUACCCAUUGAAAAUACUUGUGUUAAGGUGACUAGUGCUGAGCAAUAAUAGGAUUGUAGAAAGUCUUGACAUUGAACAGAAGAGAUUAGAGUGAUCAGCAGGUAAUGACGAGACAGUGACAGGUUGUGUGUAAGGUAGGGGCUUCCUGAAAAUGGUGCUUUUAAGAAGUUUGAUGCUGUGUGCAGACCUGAGUUACCCAGAGAAAGGAGGUAGGUGAGGCUCUCCAGAUGGUUUUAUAAACUGUGAGAGACCCACAUCUAGAGCAAGAGCUCAGAAAGGGCACCAUCAACAACCUUGCAAGAUCCUACCAGGCACCAGGCAGGUAGUGGGAUGUAGAGUUGUUUACAACAUGCCAGGAUUAGGGCUCUUUGGAGCAUUUGUGCGCAAAUUCAGGAUAAAUCAAGGACAGCACAGAGUAAACCUAUGAUAUAAGUCCUUCCCAAAAGCCAGAACAGGCUGUAAAGUUAAAUGCAGGGUGUGCCCCAGAGUUGGAAUAAUUUUUCCCCUAAAUGGAAAGGGAUUAAUUUCCUGAUAAACAAGAAAGUAAGUUGUGGACCCUUACACGGUGUCUUCUCAAAUCCAGUGGCAUUUGCAGUUUGCUCUUCCUCCUGAGUCCCUCGGGUAGAACCCACCUGUUAGGGUAGACUGUGAGCAGCAAAUUUGGCCUCUGAUGGUCCAGCUUCUUUUCUCACUGCCCCCCCAUUUAUAGGUCUACUCCCUUAUGAGUCCAGCAGAUAUUGACUGACUUCCAGCUGCAUGGGAAGGGAAGGCAGCACCUCAUAAAGCCUUUGAAAACCAGAAUAGCUUAGUUCCCAAAGAGUUUGGGGGCUUUAAAGGUAGAAACCAGUGAGGCCAAUGCCGAGCCUUGAGGGAGGUACUGUCAGAACCUCUCCUACCAGGGAGACUUCAGCAAGAAGUCUCUGGAGACCUUCAAAUGACCUAACUUCAUACAGACUGACUCUGAAAAGCAAUGAAGUAAGAGUCUGAGCUGUGGUUCUCCCUGGCUCUGUGACUGUCUCUUUUUUUCUCUGGGCUUCAGUUUCUGCAUCCGUUCAUUGUGGGAUCUCGACCAGAUAGCUUUUCAGUCUAUCUUGGCUGAAGAAUUCCUUUUACCAUGUAUAUUCUUGCCAACACCUUGAGAUUAUUUAACCAUUUAAUAAUUUGUGUGAUGUUAAUAAAGAAGGGAUUUUUUAACUAAAA